This 1534-nucleotide ribosomal RNA is filed under the name Neisseria gonorrhoeae. RNAcentral describes it as "bacterial SSU rRNA". It matches the Rfam family "Bacterial small subunit ribosomal RNA". Lineage: Bacteria; Pseudomonadati; Pseudomonadota; Betaproteobacteria; Neisseriales; Neisseriaceae. The record is from RNAcentral.
UAAGAGUUUGAUCCUGGCUCAGAUUGAACGCUGGCGGCAUGCUUUACACAUGCAAGUCGGACGGCAGCACAGGGAAGCUUGCUUCUCGGGUGGCGAGUGGCGAACGGGUGAGUAACAUAUCGGAACGUACCGGGUAGCGGGGAUAACUGAUCGAAAGAUCAGCUAAUACCGCAUACGUCUUGAGAGGGAAAGCAGGGGACCUUCGGGCCUUGCGCUAUCCGAGCGGCCGAUAUCUGAUUAGCUGGUUGGCGGGGUAAAGGCCCACCAAGGCGACGAUCAGUAGCGGGUCUGAGAGGAUGAUCCGCCACACUGGGACUGAGACACGGCCCAGACUCCUACGGGAGGCAGCAGUGGGGAAUUUUGGACAAUGGGCGCAAGCCUGAUCCAGCCAUGCCGCGUGUCUGAAGAAGGCCUUCGGGUUGUAAAGGACUUUUGUCAGGGAAGAAAAGGCCGUUGCCAAUAUCGGCGGCCGAUGACGGUACCUGAAGAAUAAGCACCGGCUAACUACGUGCCAGCAGCCGCGGUAAUACGUAGGGUGCGAGCGUUAAUCGGAAUUACUGGGCGUAAAGCGGGCGCAGACGGUUACUUAAGCAGGAUGUGAAAUCCCGGGCUCAACCCGGGAACUGCGUUCUGAACUGGGUGACUCGAGUGUGUCAGAGGGAGGUGGAAUUCCACGUGUAGCAGUGAAAUGCGUAGAGAUGUGGAGGAAUACCGAUGGCGAAGGCAGCCUCCUGGGAUAACACUGACGUUCAUGUCCGAAAGCGUGGGUAGCAAACAGGAUUAGAUACCCUGGUAGUCCACGCCCUAAACGAUGUCAAUUAGCUGUUGGGCAACUUGAUUGCUUGGUAGCGUAGCUAACGCGUGAAAUUGACCGCCUGGGGAGUACGGUCGCAAGAUUAAAACUCAAAGGAAUUGACGGGGACCCGCACAAGCGGUGGAUGAUGUGGAUUAAUUCGAUGCAACGCGAAGAACCUUACCUGGUUUUGACAUGUGCGGAAUCCUCCGGAGACGGAGGAGUGCCUUCGGGAGCCGUAACACAGGUGCUGCAUGGCUGUCGUCAGCUCGUGUCGUGAGAUGUUGGGUUAAGUCCCGCAACGAGCGCAACCCUUGUCAUUAGUUGCCAUCAUUCGGUUGGGCACUCUAAUGAGACUGCCGGUGACAAGCCGGAGGAAGGUGGGGAUGACGUCAAGUCCUCAUGGCCCUUAUGACCAGGGCUUCACACGUCAUACAAUGGUCGGUACAGAGGGUAGCCAAGCCGCGAGGCGGAGCCAAUCUCACAAAACCGAUCGUAGUCCGGAUUGCACUCUGCAACUCGAGUGCAUGAAGUCGGAAUCGCUAGUAAUCGCAGGUCAGCAUACUGCGGUGAAUACGUUCCCGGGUCUUGUACACACCGCCCGUCACACCAUGGGAGUGGGGGAUACCAGAAGUAGGUAGGGUAACCGCAAGGAGUCCGCUUACCACGGUAUGCUUCAUGACUGGGGUGAAGUCGUAACAAGGUAGCCGUAGGGGAACCUGCGGCUGGAUUACCUCCUUU